RNAcentral lists this small RNA (86 nucleotides) under Pluralibacter gergoviae. RNAcentral describes it as "Enterobacter gergoviae OmrA-B family". It matches the Rfam family "OmrA-B family". The record is from Rfam by way of RNAcentral. Lineage: Bacteria; Pseudomonadati; Pseudomonadota; Gammaproteobacteria; Enterobacterales; Enterobacteriaceae.
CCCAGAGGUAUUGAUAGGUGAAUUUCUCAGGUACGGCUGCCGUACUUUCACUUACACCGACCUGCGCAGAUGCGCAGGUUUUUUUU